UACGUAGGGUGCGAGCGUUGCCCGGAUUUAUUGGGCGUAAAGGGCGCGUAGGCGGCCACGCACGUCCGUUGUGAAAUCGCCCGGCUCAACUGGGCGGGGUCAGCGGAUACGGUGUGGCUCGAGCAAGCUAGGGGGCAAUGGAAUUCCCGGUGUAGUGGUGGAAUGCGUAGAUAUCGGGAGGAACACCAGUGGCGAAGGCGGUUGCCUGGAGCUUUGCUGACGCUGAUGCGCGAAAGCGUGGGGAGCGAGUCGG
This 253-nucleotide ribosomal RNA is filed under the name uncultured bacterium. Its description in RNAcentral is "partial 16S ribosomal RNA". It matches the Rfam family "Bacterial small subunit ribosomal RNA", at positions 524 to 776 of the family's 1533-position model. The record is from RNAcentral.